GAUGAACGCUAGCGGGAGGCCUAACACAUGCAAGUCGAACGGGAUUGAGAGCUUGCUCUCAUGAGAGUGGCGCACGGGUGAGUAACGCGUAUGCAACCUACCUAUAACAGAGGGAUAGCCCAUAGAAAUGUGGAUUAAUACCUCAUAGUUCUUUUGGAUCGCAUGAUUUGAAAGAUAAAGCUCUGGCGGUUAUAGAUGGGCAUGCGUGACAUUAGCUAGUUGGUGAGGUAACGGCUCACCAAGGCGACGAUGUCUAGGGGUUCUGAGAGGAUGAUCCCCCAACUGGUACUGAGACACGGACCAGACUCCUACGGGAGCAGCAGUGAGGAAUAUUGGUCAAUGGGCGCAAGCCUGAACCAGCCAUCCCGCGUGCAGGAUGACGGCCUAUGGGUUUAAACUGCUUUUAACACCAAAGAAACUUCAGACGUGUCUGAAUCUGACGGUAGUGUAUGAAUAAGC
Molecule: ribosomal RNA, 459 nt
Filed under: uncultured bacterium
Lineage: Bacteria
Description: bacterial SSU rRNA
Rfam family: Bacterial small subunit ribosomal RNA
Source: RNAcentral